This 547-nucleotide ribosomal RNA is filed under the name uncultured archaeon. RNAcentral describes it as "bacterial SSU rRNA". It matches the Rfam family "Archaeal small subunit ribosomal RNA", at positions 876 to 1429 of the family's 1478-position model. The record is from RNAcentral.
GCACCACAAGAGGUGGGACCUGCGGUUCAAUUGGAUUCAACGCCGGAAAACUCACCAGGGGCGACAGUUGGAUGAAAGCCAGGUUGACGAUCUUGCAAGACUAGCUGAGAGGUGGUGCAUGGCCAUCGUCAGCUCGUACCGUGAGGCGUCCUGUUAAGUCAGGCAACGAGCGAGAUCCUCGCCCUUAGUUGCCAUCGGUGGAAAGCCGGGCACUCUAGGGGGACCGCUGGCGCUAAGUCAGAGGAAGGAGAGGGCGACGGUAGGUCAGUAUGCCCCGAAUCCCCUGGGCUACACGCGGGUCACAAUGCGCAGGACAAUGAGAUGCAACCCCGUAAGGGGAAGCCAAACCCUUAAACCUGCGCUCGGUUCGGAUCGAGGGCUGUAACUCGCCCUCGUGAAGCUGGAAUCUCUAGUAAUCGCGUGCCAACACCGCGCGGUGAAUGCGUCCCUGCUCCUUGCACACACCGCCCGUCAAGCCACUCGAGUGGGGUUUGGAUGAGGUCAGUUCAAGUUGUGCUGCUCGAAUCCGAGUUCUGCAAGAGGGGCU